AACGAACGCUGGCGGCAUGCCUAACACAUGCAAGUCGAACGAGACCUUCGGGUCUAGUGGCGCACGGGUGCGUAACGCGUGGGAACCUGCCCUUAGGUUCGGAAUAACUCCUCGAAAGGGGUGCUAAUACCGGAUGAUGUCGAAAGACCAAAGAUUUAUCGCCUUUGGAUGGGCCCCGCGUAGGAUUAGGUAGUUGGUGGGGUAAAGGCCUACCAAGCCGACGAUCCUUAGCUGGUCUGAGAGGAUGAUCAGCCACACUGGGACUGAGACACGGCCCAGACUCCUACGGGAGGCAGCAGUGGGGAAUAUUGGACAAUGGGCGAAAGCCUGAUCCAGCAAUGCCGCGUGAGUGAUGAAGGCCUUAGGGUUGUAAAGCUCUUUUACCAGGGAUGAUAAUGACAGUACCUGGAGAAUAAAGCUCCGGCUAACUCCGUGCCAGCAGCCGCGGUAAA
RNAcentral lists this ribosomal RNA (452 nucleotides) under uncultured bacterium. RNAcentral's name for it is "bacterial SSU rRNA". It matches the Rfam family "Bacterial small subunit ribosomal RNA", at positions 29 to 524 of the family's 1533-position model. The record is from RNAcentral.